GAUGAACGCUGGCGGCGUGCCUAAUACAUGCAAGUCGAGCGAACGGACGAGAAGCUUGCUUCUCUGAUGUUAGCGGCAGACGGGUGAGUAACACGUGGAUAACCUACCUAUAAGACUGGGAUAACUUCGGGAAACCGGAGCUAAUACCGGAUAAUAUUUUGAACCGCAUGGUUCAAAAGUGAAAGACGGUCUUGCUGUCACUUAUAGAUGGAUCCGCGCUGCAUUAGCUAGUUGGUAAGGUAACGGCUUACCAAGGCAACGAUGCAUAGCCGACCUGAGAGGGUGAUCGGCCACACUGGAACUGAGACACGGUCCAGACUCCUACGGGAGGCAGCAGUAGGGAAUCUUCCGCAAUGGGCGAAAGCCUGACGGAGCAACGCCGCGUGAGUGAUGAAGGUCUUCGGAUCGUAAAACUCUGUUAUUAGGGAAGAACAUAUGUGUAAGUAACUGUGCACAUCUUGACGGUACCUAAUCAGAAAGCCACGGCUAACUACGU
RNAcentral lists this ribosomal RNA (496 nucleotides) under uncultured bacterium. RNAcentral describes it as "partial 16S ribosomal RNA". It matches the Rfam family "Bacterial small subunit ribosomal RNA", at positions 28 to 506 of the family's 1533-position model. The record is from RNAcentral.